This is an RNA transcript of Mandrillus leucophaeus (drill), 682 nucleotides long. It is a transcript of the gene named DNA-directed RNA polymerases I and III subunit RPAC2-like, with no coding region annotated. The record is from RefSeq and is a predicted model, not a curated record. NCBI's taxonomy places the organism in Eukaryota, Metazoa, Chordata, Mammalia, Primates, Cercopithecidae. The transcript has a single exon.
CCUGCUUCGCCUCCAUACCUCACAUUAUGGGACAGAGCCCCUGAUCUGCCAGCACCACCUGAGGGUCUGGAAACCACCCAAGCGAUGGAAGAGGACCAGGAGCUGGAAAGAAAAAUAUCUGGAUUGAAGACUUCAAUGACUGAAGGCGAGAGGAAGACAGUCCUGGAAAUGGUCCAGGCAACUGGAACAGAUAGACACUGUGUGACAUUGUAUUGCAUGAGGAAGACCAUACCCUGGGAAAUUCUCUACAUUACAUGAUCAUGAAGAACCCGGAAGUGGAAUUUUGUGGUUACACGACGACCCAUCCUUCAGAGAGCAAAAUUAAUUUACGCAUUCGGACUGGAGGUACCCUUCCAGCUGUUGAGUCAUUUCAGAGAGGCCUGAAUGAACUCAUGAAUGUCUGCAAACAUGUGCUUGACAAGUUUGAGGCCAGCAUAAAGGACUAUAAGGAUCAAAAAGCAAGCAGAAAUGAAUCCACAUUCUAGUCCCUUAUGCAGUAUACAAGGAGAACUGUCCUCUAGGAUAUUCUCUUCCUGAUGGUGCAGAACCCAGAAUUAGAAGUUUGUGGUUACAGCACACUCUGUCCUUCAGAAAGGCGUGAUUCUAGCUGGUGACCCCUUGCAGCUGUUGGAAUCUCUGCAAGAACCUCUGUAUUCUUCUAAUAAAUUCCCUCUUGUAUUUU